This is a long non-coding RNA of Vitis vinifera (wine grape), 1423 nucleotides long. RefSeq lists it as uncharacterized. The transcript has 2 exons. Lineage: Eukaryota; Viridiplantae; Streptophyta; Magnoliopsida; Vitales; Vitaceae. The record is from RefSeq and is a predicted model, not a curated record.
UGCCCCUAAAUUUCUCUGUGUCAUCAACAAAUCCUCCCCAUGUCAGUAGAACAAUUUGAAACUUGAACUAAUUCUCAAAGCUGAAACACAAAGAAACCCGAUCGAGAACCAAAAGUAAAGAAUCUCUCUCACUUUUGAUCAUUUUGCCCUAACCCCAUCUCAGGAAAUUCCUAAUUUCGAACCUAGUUUCAAAAAACACAACUUUCCCUGAUAAUAAUCUCCUCCCUCCUCCAUCAUCGCCUAUUAGUCUCUUUCCCCGCGUUUGGUUCCCAAGAAAGCCCAGGAAAAUAAAUCCAAAUGAGCUCCCAUUUCCUCCCCUCCACUUUCCCAUGGUUUCUUCCCAACCAAACACACUAUUUCUGAGCUUCAACACUUCUUUUUUUCUCGACGCUUCAAUUGGGUUUUGAUAUGAGAAGAGCGAAAGUUGGCACUUAUUGCCCUUCCCCUGCUCCCACAUUGGUGGUUCUCGUUGUACUAUUGGUGGGUUCGGUGCAGUUCGUAUAGUGCCAUAACGUAGAUGACUACAGCGAGUUUGAUAAUCCCAAGCUUCUUCCAUUGUUCACACAGUUUGGUUAUGGUAAGAUUUCCAAUAUGACUACAAUGCUGAGUGCGGAGUUUCAAAAGCGCUCCAAUUUCUGCGUUAAGGAUCCGGACGCUGAUUGGAACCAGGCUUUUAAUCUUUCAUUUAAUUUGGACUUCUUGGCUUCUUGCAUCCAGAAAACUAAAGGUAUGAGUAGUUUUUACAAGUUACAUUUGAGCUUGUUUGGAUACCUAGAAAAUCCGAGUAAAAUAGGAAAAAAUAGCUUUCACGGGGAAAAAAAACAUUUGGAAUCAAUCAAUUCUAAUUAAACUAGUUGGUUACCUGAAUUGAGUUUCUCAUUCUUUUUUUAAUUCUUUAGAAGGAAGACAAAAUGGAAUUUGAAACUCAAAUCUUAAUGGCUUUUCUUCACCAACUAAAAUGGAGGGUAACUAGAAAUACCUGUUGUGUUUCUUGGUCAGAAACUUCAUAUUUGAGUGCACUGUUAUAAUAUUGGGAAGAAUUAUAGGAGCAUUAUUAAUGUGAUUCGGCUACUGAGACUUCAUAGGAAGGUGGUUUGGACCGGGUAGGUGUGUAUUCCAGUUUUUUUUUUCUCACUUGUCCUGGUGAAUUCUUAGCAAUGAGACUAGGAUUUAAGCUCAAAAGGUUAUACUUAUCCAUUGUUUCUAACUCUUUUAACUUGUUAUGAUUGAUGAGGAAGAUGAUAGUUUCUUUCCGACCCAUGAUUGGAAAGUUUCUCUUUGAGGCACCAUCAUGCUCUUUCCUUGGCAUCUCUUUCUGUAAGGAUCUGUUUUGGCCCAAAGGGCAGUAAGCAAUAAAGAAGGAUCUUGUAAAAUAUCAGACAGAGAAAACCGAGUGCCAGCAUUUUCUGUUGUUUUUCUUUCA